Molecule: ribosomal RNA, 73 nt
Filed under: Streptococcus pyogenes
Lineage: Bacteria; Bacillati; Bacillota; Bacilli; Lactobacillales; Streptococcaceae
Also listed under: 1 other name
Description: partial 16S ribosomal RNA
Rfam family: Bacterial small subunit ribosomal RNA
Source: RNAcentral
AUCUUGGAGAGUUUGAUCCUGGCUCAGGACGAACGCUGGCGGCGUGCUUAACACAUGCAAGUCGAACGAAGAG